AUGUUGAUUCAAUGCAAACUGAGGAUGCACAAUUCGCUGGUACGGGUAUGCUUGAUAGAGAAGGUUGACGAAUGCGGUGACUGUUGCAGAAAGAGGAUGAUGAUGCACUUGAAGAUUGUGGAGAAAAUCCAAAUAUUAGAAGUUGAGAGAAGAGAGAUAUUUUUUGUGAGUUUUUCUUGGUGUGAUUCUUCUAUGAAUCGUGAAGAAUCAAGGUGA
Molecule: non-coding RNA, 216 nt
Organism: Vicia faba (fava bean)
Lineage: Eukaryota; Viridiplantae; Streptophyta; Magnoliopsida; Fabales; Fabaceae
Source: the annotation of a GenBank genome assembly